This 437-nucleotide ribosomal RNA is filed under the name uncultured bacterium. RNAcentral's name for it is "partial 16S ribosomal RNA". It matches the Rfam family "Bacterial small subunit ribosomal RNA", at positions 29 to 507 of the family's 1533-position model. The record is from RNAcentral.
AGCGAACGCUGGCGGCAGGCUUAACACAUGCAAGUCGAGCGGGCAUCCUUGUGGUGUCAGCGGCAGACGGGUGAGUAACGCGUGGGAACGUGCCCUUCGGUUCGGAAUAACUCAGGGAAACUUGAGCUAAUACCGGAUACGUGCGAGAGCAGAAAGGUUUAUCUGCCGAAGGAUCGGCCCGCGUCUGAUUAGCUAGUUGGUGAGGUUAUGGCUCACCAAGGCGACGAUCAGUAGCUGGUCUGAGAGGAUGAUCAGCCACACUGGGACUGAGACACGGCCCAGACUCCUACGGGAGGCAGCAGUGGGGAAUAUUGGACAAUGGGGGUAACCCUGAUCCAGCCAUGCCGCGUGAGUGAUGACGGCCUUAGGGUUGUAAAGCUCUUUUCUCCGGGACGAUAAUGACGGUACCGGAGGAAUAAGCCCCGGCUAACUUCGUG